UAGGGAAUCUUCCACAAUGGACGCAAGUCUGAUGGAGCAACGCCGCGUGAGUGAAGAAGGUUUUCGGACCGUAAAGCUCUGUUGUUGGUGAAGAAGGAUAGAGGUAGUAACUGGCCUUUAUUUGACGGUAAUCAACCAGAAAGUCACGGCUAACUACGUGCCAGCAGCCGCGGUAAUACGUAGGUGGCAAGCGUUGUCCGGAUUUAUUGGGCGUAAAGCGAGCGCAGGCGGAAGAAUAAGUCUGAUGUGAAAGCCCUCGGCUUAACCGAGGAAUUGCAUCGGAAACUGUUUUCUUGAGUGCAGAAGAGGAGAGUAGAACUCCAUGUGUAGCGGUGGAAUGCGUAGAUAUAUGGAAGAAUACCAGUGGCGAAGGCGGCUCCUGUCU
This 385-nucleotide ribosomal RNA is filed under the name uncultured bacterium. RNAcentral describes it as "partial 16S ribosomal RNA". It matches the Rfam family "Bacterial small subunit ribosomal RNA", at positions 355 to 735 of the family's 1533-position model. The record is from RNAcentral.